CCUACGGCGGCUGCAGUGGGGAAUAUUGGACAAUGGGCGAAAGCCUGAUCCAGCCAUGCCGCGUGUGUGAAGAAGGCCUUCGGGUUGUAAAGCACUUUCAGUGGGGAAGAAAGCCUUGGGGCUAAUACCCUCGAGGAAGGACAUCACCCACAGAAGAAGCACCGGCUAACUCCGUGCCAGCAGCCGCGGUAAUACGGAAGGUGCGAGCGUUAAUCGGAAUUACUGGGCGUAAAGCGCGCGUAGGCGGUCUGAUAAGCCGGUUGUGAAAGCCCCGGGCUCAACCUGGGAACGGCAUCCGGAACUGUCAGGCUAGAGUGCAGGAGAGGAAGGUAGAAUUCCCGGUGUAGCGGUGAAAUGCGUAGAGAUCGGGAGGAAUACCAGUGGCGAAGGCGGCCUUCUGGACUGACACUGACGCUGAGGUGCGAAAGCGUGGGUAGCAAACAGGAUUAGAUACCCUGGUAGUC
RNAcentral lists this ribosomal RNA (464 nucleotides) under Vreelandella stevensii. Its description in RNAcentral is "partial 16S ribosomal RNA". It matches the Rfam family "Bacterial small subunit ribosomal RNA", at positions 338 to 795 of the family's 1533-position model. The record is from RNAcentral. Lineage: Bacteria; Pseudomonadati; Pseudomonadota; Gammaproteobacteria; Oceanospirillales; Halomonadaceae.